GGAAUAUUGGACAAUGGGCGAAAGCCUGAUCCAGCCAUGCCGCGUGUGUGAAGCAGGCCUUCGGGUUGUAAAGCACUUUUGUUGGGAAAGAAAAGCAGUCGGUUAAUACCCGAUUGUUCUGACGGUACCCAAAGAAUAAGCACCGGCUAACUUCGUGCCAGCACCCGCGGUAAUACGAAGGGUGCAAGCGUUACUCGGAAUUACUGGGCGUAAAGCGUGCGUAGGUAGUUCGUUAAGUCUGAUGUGAAAGCCCUGGGCUCAACCUGGGAAUUGCAUUGGAUACUGGCGGGCUAGAGUGCGGUAGAGGGUAGUGGAAUUCCCGGUGUAGCAGUGAAAUGCGUAGAGAUCGGGAGGAACAUCCGUGGCGAAGGCGACUACCUGGACCAGCACUGACACUGAGGCACGAAAGCGUGGGGAGCAAAC
This 423-nucleotide ribosomal RNA is filed under the name uncultured bacterium. RNAcentral describes it as "bacterial SSU rRNA". It matches the Rfam family "Bacterial small subunit ribosomal RNA", at positions 358 to 773 of the family's 1533-position model. The record is from RNAcentral.